CCACAUGCGCUCGUGCUUCCACCCCUCACGCUCCUCCUUGCUGCCAAGCACGCAGCAUUUGCAUGGCACAGACACUGCUGGGCACGCAGGGCACGCCCACCUUGCUUUUGCACGCCCACCUUGCUGUUCACACUGAUGUGCACGGCCACCACCACUCACAGACACGCAUACUGCUUGUAGGUGUCACCUUAAGCACACGCUUCCAUCCCAUUCACUCCUGCUUGGAUGCCCUCACAUCAACCGAAGCUUUUGCCCCACGAGUGCUCGGAGAUAAAUGCUGCAGGCAACACCACCACCUCUUGCACACUUCGGUACCCUUAAUUUUCUACUGCACUGUCCUUGAGUGUCUGUGCCCUCAGCUUUGUGUUCAUGGCAUCUUUCCCACAGCUUGCGACACCCAAGCAUCCGUACUCACUUGUAGCCUCCGAACCUUCAGGUCCCCUGUCCCUGCAGACUUGCCCCAGCCUUUCCCUGCUGGCAUGUCCCUGCUCGCGGGGCUGCUCCCCCCCUGCCUCUCCAAUGUUCUCUCCUCCUGGCACCUCUCCCACACCCCCCACCCUCACUCUUUGCCAUCUCUAAUCAUUUCCCGACUCCCAUUCUCGUGCCAUGAAGUUGUUGACGCCAGGCACUGGCUCUCACGCAGCCUGGCGAUGAAGCCAGUUUAUCCCAAAUGAUGAGGUUCCCCCAAUUCAUUCAAAGCCAAAUGUGUCCGUCCUGUUUUCCUGCAGAAUCACUUCCUUUCAAAAAGGGAAAUGGGAUGCCUGUGAGUGGUCCUGCAGGGAGAGGGGCAGGAGCUGGCUCCUCUGCAAGGCAUGGCUGGGGAAUGUGCUGCAAACCUGGCCUUGGCUGCGUUAUCUGAGCAGGAUCCAGCACAUCCAGCCCUCGUUGGGAGCAAAGGGACACCCUCCUUCCCCUUGCCAGCCACGAACCCGCGCAGCCUGCUGCCUGCCCAAAGGAUACGGCGAUUUAGCAAGAAGCAGGAGCAAGCCUUGUCUCGUUCCCACGGCACGAAGCCACAGCACAGUGCGCGCGUGUGAUAGGAGCCCGAGGGCACCAGCAUGGCCAGCAGCCAAGCUGACCAGCGGACAGGGGACACGUCCAACCCACAGCUGUGCCAGACCGGUGCCAAGGGCGGUCACAGCUGCAGCAGCAAUGGCCGAGACACCCGGACCUUGCAUCCCCAGCGCAGAGGGACUUUUAUCAUGGGCCAGAGGAAGCCAGGGCUGCGCAGCUCAUCAUUGCUUGGCUCGAAGCAUGGCGAAGGAGCAUCGAGUGCCAAGCACGGGAUGUGGAGAUGCAUCUUCUCAGACCAGGAUUGAGAGCAGCAAACUCUGUUCCCAUGGUUACUGAGCAGCUACCCAUCAGGCCCCAUCUCACAUCACUAACUCUGCCACUUAAUUAACUGACUGCUCGUUAUUUCCCGAAAUGAGCUCCUCCAUCCUCCUGCUUGCCUGAAAUUCAGCUCUCAGAUGCUCUCCACAGAGCAGCCCGUCUGGCUUUAGUGCCCUGCUUCAUUUAAACCUCAUCUGCCACUCAGCAAGGGUUGGAAAGGGCUGGAAACCAGCCCCGGGACCGCGGGAGGGCUCCAAGGGGAAGUUUUUCUUUGGGGACACCAGCCACUUCCAGCUAGGAUGAAGUAAAUAGGAUCACAUCGGCACAGAGCCGUGUCUGAGC
Molecule: long non-coding RNA, 1674 nt
Organism: Anser brachyrhynchus (Pink-footed goose)
Lineage: Eukaryota; Metazoa; Chordata; Aves; Anseriformes; Anatidae
Source: Ensembl